This 226-nucleotide unclassified non-coding RNA is filed under the name uncultured fungus. RNAcentral describes it as "sequence contains ITS1, 5.8S rRNA gene". The stretch from base 178 to 226 matches the Rfam family "5.8S ribosomal RNA", at positions 1 to 49 of the family's 154-position model. Lineage: Eukaryota; Fungi. The record is from RNAcentral.
UCUCCGUAGGUGAACCUGCGGAGGGAUCAUUACUGAGUGAGGGCUUCGGUCCGACCUCCAACCCUUUGUGAACCAAACUUGUUGCUUCGGGGGCGACCCUGCCGCUUCGGCGGUGCGGCGCCCCCGAAGGUCUCCCAACACUGCAUCUUUGCGUCGGAGUUUAAGUAAAUUAAACAAAACUUUCAACAACGGAUCUCUUGGUUCUGGCAUCGAUGAAGAACGCAGC